AAAUUGAAGAGUUUGAUCAUGGCUCAGAUUGAACGCUGGCGGCAGGCCUAACACAUGCAAGUCGAACGGUAACAGGAAGCAGCUUGCUGCUUUGCUGACGAGUGGCGGACGGGUGAGUAAUGUCUGGGAAACUGCCUGAUGGAGGGGGAUAACUACUGGAAACGGUGGCUAAUACCGCAUAACGUCGCAAGACCAAAGAGGGGGACCUUCGGGCCUCUUGCCAUCAGAUGUGCCCAGAUGGGAUUAGCUAGUUGGUGAGGUAACGGCUCACCAAGGCGACGAUCCCUAGCUGGUCUGAGAGGAUGACCAGCCACACUGGAACUGAGACACGGUCCAGACUCCUACGGGAGGCAGCAGUGGGGAAUAUUGCACAAUGGGCGCAAGCCUGAUGCAGCCAUGCCGCGUGUAUGAAGAAGGCCUUCGGGUUGUAAAGUACUUUCAGCGGGGAGGAAGGUGUUGCGGUUAAUAACCGCAGCAAUUGACGUUACCCGCAGAAGAAGCACCGGCUAACUCCGUGCCAGCAGCCGCGGUAAUACGGAGGGUGCAAGCGUUAAUCGGAAUUACUGGGCGUAAAGCGCACGCAGGCGGUCUGUCAAGUCGGAUGUGAAAUCCCCGGGCUCAACCUGGGAACUGCAUUCGAAACUGGCAGGCUUGAGUCUUGUAGAGGGGGGUAGAAUUCCAGGUGUAGCGGUGAAAUGCGUAGAGAUCUGGAGGAAUACCGGUGGCGAAGGCGGCCCCCUGGACAAAGACUGACGCUCAGGUGCGAAAGCGUGGGGAGCAAACAGGAUUAGAUACCCUGGUAGUCCACGCCGUAAACGAUGUCUACUUGGAGGUUGUGCCCUUGAGGCGUGGCUUCCGGAGCUAACGCGUUAAGUAGACCGCCUGGGGAGUACGGCCGCAAGGUUAAAACUCAAAUGAAUUGACGGGGGCCCGCACAAGCGGUGGAGCAUGUGGUUUAAUUCGAUGCAACGCGAAGAACCUUACCUGGUCUUGACAUCCACGGAAGUUUUCAGAGAUGAGAAUGUGCCUUCGGGAACCGUGAGACAGGUGCUGCAUGGCUGUCGUCAGCUCGUGUUGUGAAAUGUUGGGUUAAGUCCCGCAACGAGCGCAACCCUUAUCCUUUGUUGCCAGCGAUUAGGUCGGGAACUCAAAGGAGACUGCCAGUGAUAAACUGGAGGAAGGUGGGGAUGACGUCAAGUCAUCAUGGCCCUUACGACCAGGGCUACACACGUGCUACAAUGGCGCAUACAAAGAGAAGCGACCUCGCGAGAGCAAGCGGACCUCAUAAAGUGCGUCGUAGUCCGGAUUGGAGUCUGCAACUCGACUCCAUGAAGUCGGAAUCGCUAGUAAUCGUGGAUCAGAAUGCCACGGUGAAUACGUUCCCGGGCCUUGUACACACCGCCCGUCACACCAUGGGAGUGGGUUGCAAAAGAAGUAGGUAGCUUAACCUUCGGGAGGGCGCUUACCACUUUGUGAUUCAUGACUGGGGUGAAGUCGUAACAAGGUAACCGUAGGGGAACCUGCGGUUGGAUCACCUCCUUA
Molecule: ribosomal RNA, 1542 nt
Filed under: Salmonella enterica subsp. enterica serovar Bareilly
Lineage: Bacteria; Pseudomonadati; Pseudomonadota; Gammaproteobacteria; Enterobacterales; Enterobacteriaceae
Also listed under: 2 other names
Description: bacterial SSU rRNA
Rfam family: Bacterial small subunit ribosomal RNA
Source: RNAcentral